CCCUGAGGAGGUACUGGGAUCCUGACUCCUCCUCCCCUCAUUCUUUUUUGCUUCCUGGCCACCACAAGAUGAGCAGCCUCAUUAGCUCCUGCACAAAGACCGGCGUACUACAGCAGCAAAGACCCAAGGCAACAGGACCAACUGACUAUGGACUGAAUCUUGGAAACAGAGCCAACUAAACAUGUCCUCCUGUUUAAGCUCAUUACCUCAGGGACCUUACACAGUAUACUGCUAUACAGCUGCACUAAGAACAACUGAAAUCACCAAAGACCUCUACACUAACAAGUCUAGAGAGAGGGAAAAAAAAAUUUUUUAAACAUUCUACUACAAGAUGAACAACGAAACAAAGCAAAGAACAAAGCCACCUCCCAAGAUCAACAUCGCUUUGGAUGAGUUCAUUCAAAAUCAAAAUUAACACAAUCAACUAGCAGACACUGACUCAGCCGUGGGUUGUGCAGCACUGACGUUUCUAACCAAACAGCAUCUUGCGAGCUGUGAUCAUCCCAUUUCUCCAUCUCUGAGCAGUGAUUGGACGUUGUAAUUGAUAGACAAGCAGAAGGAAACGCAGGAGACAAGGGCUCAGAGAUAUGUAGAUAUGUUGCCAAAUGCCAUCUGUAAAGCUAAUUCUAGCUCUGCCAGCUUGCCAGGUUUUAGAAAACUAGGAUACAGCUAACUUCCUUUAUUCCCUUCAAUAUUUGCCCAUUCAUUCUGAACAGUAAAGCUUGUCUUUAAAGCCAGAGAGAAAAUAUUACUUGGACUUUUACUAAUCUACCCAAUAAAAAUUUUUUUGAGCAACCAAACUUUUCCAUUCUAAACUGAUGGUGAAACUGGGACUACGGAGUGACUUACAAAAGAAAACUGACAAGCUCAUACUUCGUGCAGCCUCAGAAGCAAUGAGCAUGCGUACUUCUACAUGGGAAUGAAACCUUGCGGCAAAGUCUGAUAUUCAACGUAUGAUGCAUUUAUCUUUAGUAACCUGAGCAGACUGCAGAUGACUGAAAUUUUAUAAACUCAUAUUCUAUACAAUUCAAAAUAUUCAAGAGCUUUUAGCUUAUUAUUUACCUAGACAUU
Molecule: long non-coding RNA, 1071 nt
Organism: Chinchilla lanigera (long-tailed chinchilla)
Lineage: Eukaryota; Metazoa; Chordata; Mammalia; Rodentia; Chinchillidae
Exons: 4
Source: RefSeq, a predicted model, not a curated record